This 441-nucleotide ribosomal RNA is filed under the name Arthrobacter sp. TISAE16. RNAcentral describes it as "bacterial SSU rRNA". It matches the Rfam family "Bacterial small subunit ribosomal RNA", at positions 65 to 517 of the family's 1533-position model. Lineage: Bacteria; Bacillati; Actinomycetota; Actinomycetes; Micrococcales; Micrococcaceae. The record is from RNAcentral.
AACGAUGAUGUCCCAGCUUGCUGGGUGGAUUAGUGGCGAACGGGUGAGUAACACGUGAGUAACCUGCCCUUAACUCUGGGAUAAGCCUGGGAAACUGGGUCUAAUACCGGAUAUGACUCCUCAUCGCAUGGUGGGGGGUGGAAAGCUUUUUGUGGUUUUGGAUGGACUCGCGGCCUAUCAGCUUGUUGGUGAGGUAAUGGCUUACCAAGGCGACGACGGGUAGCCGGCCUGAGAGGGUGACCGGCCACACUGGGACUGAGACACGGCCCAGACUCCUACGGGAGGCAGCAGUGGGGAAUAUUGCACAAUGGGCGCAAGCCUGAUGCAGCGACGCCGCGUGAGGGAUGACGGCCUUCGGGUUGUAAACCUCUUUCAGUAGGGAAGAAGCGAAAGUGACGGUACCUGCAGAAGAAGCGCCGGCUAACUACGUGCCAGCAGCCG